UCCGGCUCAUAUCGGUGAAACCCUAACGAUCGGCUUUGCCGAGCUCGAGGGCAAUACCGAGGGAAGUGAACGACUGAGAUCGUCGGCGAUCGAUGACGUCGUUCACCCUGUAGAGACUGCAAUGGCAUCGCUUCUUGGGAGAGAUCCCAAAUCUAAGAGUGGUGCAAUACGCCGGCCCCGAUGGUCGAUACAUCGGGUGAAGGUAUAGUCCUGCCCCAAUCGAAAGAUGGGAUGACGCAGGUCGUCAGCUCGUGCCGUGAGGUGUUGGCUUAAGUGCCGCAACGAGCGCAACCCCUGCUCUUAGUUGCCAGCGGGUAAUGCCGGGGACUCUAAGGGGACCGCCGGGGACAACUCGGAGGAAGGUGGGGAUGACGUAGGAGGAAUUC
Molecule: unclassified non-coding RNA, 386 nt
Filed under: uncultured bacterium
Lineage: Bacteria
Description: contains 16S-23S intergenic spacer region
Rfam family: Bacterial small subunit ribosomal RNA (bases 242-375)
Source: RNAcentral